CCAUCGGUGGUUCAGUGGUAAAAUGCUCGCCUGCCACGCGGGCGGCCCAGGUUCGAUUCCCGGCCAAUGCA
Molecule: transfer RNA, 71 nt
Filed under: Cordylochernes scorpioides
Lineage: Eukaryota; Metazoa; Arthropoda; Arachnida; Pseudoscorpiones; Chernetidae
Description: tRNA-Gly
Rfam family: tRNA
About the family: Transfer RNA (tRNA) molecules are approximately 80 nucleotides in length. Their secondary structure includes four short double-helical elements and three loops (D, anti-codon, and T loops).
Source: RNAcentral